CUGAAUGUCUACUGGGAUUUGUCCCCUGAGAACUGACUGAGAGGGGGGUCAGAGGCUUAGCUGGCCCCUGGGCCACCUAGUCUGAGGAAGGCUGUGCAAGACAGCCACUCUGGGAAAGGAAAGAAAGAGCCAAGGAAGACUCAGAGGAAAAUUUUUUCUCAGGUCUGAUGCCAGGGAAAACAUGCCUCUCUUAAGCAACAGGGGACACGGGUUCGAGCCCUGGUCCAGGAAGAUCCCACAUGCCAUGGAGCAACUAAGCCCGUGCACCACAACUACUGAGCCUGCACUCUAGAGCCCACAAGCCACAACUACUGAGCCCACGUGCCACAACUACUGAAGCCUGUGCGCCUAGAGCCCGUGCUCCGCAACAAGAGAAGCCACCGCAAUGAGAAGCCCGCGCACCUCAACGAAGAGUAGCCGCCGUUUGCCACAACUAGAGAAAGUCUGUGUACAGCAGCAAAGACCCAAUGCGGCCAAAAAUAAAUAAAUAAUAAAUAAAUUUAUAUAUAUAUAAAAAAAUUGUAUCUUAAGAACACAUUUAUAAAACACAGGAAAAACAUUGUCUUAGUUCCAAUUGAUAGGGUAUUUUUUGUCUUUUCCUCUUGGUUGGUAGCUAAAAGCAGUAUAAUUAUA
Molecule: long non-coding RNA, 633 nt
Organism: Orcinus orca (killer whale)
Lineage: Eukaryota; Metazoa; Chordata; Mammalia; Artiodactyla; Delphinidae
Exons: 3
Source: RefSeq, a predicted model, not a curated record